This 45-nucleotide non-coding RNA is filed under the name Echinostoma caproni. Lineage: Eukaryota; Metazoa; Platyhelminthes; Trematoda; Plagiorchiida; Echinostomatidae. The record is from RNAcentral.
GCACUGCUGACGAGUCCCAAACAGGGCGAAACAACUGUCCAGUGC